CACACCGCCCGUCACAUCACGAAAGUCAGUUGUACCGGAAGCCGGUGCGCUAACCUCCGGGAGGCAGCCGUCCAUGGUAUGACUGGCGAUUGGGGUG
Molecule: ribosomal RNA, 97 nt
Filed under: uncultured bacterium
Lineage: Bacteria
Description: partial 16S ribosomal RNA
Rfam family: Bacterial small subunit ribosomal RNA
Source: RNAcentral